This 24-nucleotide microRNA is filed under the name Gossypium raimondii (Peruvian cotton). Its description in RNAcentral is "gra-miR8685". Lineage: Eukaryota; Viridiplantae; Streptophyta; Magnoliopsida; Malvales; Malvaceae. The record is from miRBase by way of RNAcentral.
AGACGACACUUCAAAGAUUUCUCC